RNAcentral lists this RNase P RNA (329 nucleotides) under Candidatus Moraniibacteriota bacterium. Its description in RNAcentral is "Candidatus Moranbacteria bacterium (groundwater metagenome) RNase P RNA component class A". It matches the Rfam family "Bacterial RNase P class A". Rfam says of the family: Ribonuclease P (RNase P) is a ubiquitous endoribonuclease, found in archaea, bacteria and eukarya as well as chloroplasts and mitochondria. Its best characterised activity is the generation of mature 5'-ends of tRNAs by cleaving the 5'-leader elements of precursor-tRNAs. The record is from RNAcentral. Lineage: Bacteria; Candidatus Moraniibacteriota.
CAAAGUAAUUGAGUGGUUACCCUGAUUUUUAUUGGGGAGGAAAGUCCGGACAUUUAGCUUCAAUUUAUUUUGGAGUAAAGGUAGCGGGUAACGCCCGUCCGCAGUGAUGCGAGAGGUGCGAGCAGAGACGCUUUGAUUCGAAAGAGUCGAGCACCCUUCGGGGUGAGUUCUUAUAGUAAUAUGAGAAGUGAAACGGCCAAAUCCUUACCUGAAUGCAAGACCGUAUUCCAAUGCUUUGCAUUGGUUUGUGUCGCUCGAGCUUGUCAGUAAUGGCAAGCCCAGAUAAAUGAUCACUAAUACAGAAUCCGGCUUAUAGAUUACUUUGAUAU